GCUCCGGUAGCCUAGUGGUUAGAGCUACCGCCUCAGAUGCGGGAGGUCAUGGCUACGAUCUCUGGUCGAAUCA
Non-coding RNA from Potamilus streckersoni, 73 nucleotides. Lineage: Eukaryota; Metazoa; Mollusca; Bivalvia; Unionida; Unionidae. The record is from the annotation of a GenBank genome assembly.